RNAcentral lists this ribosomal RNA (490 nucleotides) under uncultured bacterium. RNAcentral describes it as "bacterial SSU rRNA". It matches the Rfam family "Bacterial small subunit ribosomal RNA", at positions 9 to 526 of the family's 1533-position model. The record is from RNAcentral.
GAGUUUGAUCCUGGCUCAGGAUGAACGCUGGCGGCGUGCCUAACACAUGCAAGUCGAGCGAUUCUCUUCGGAGAAGAGCGGCGGACGGGUGAGUAACGCGUGGGUAACCUGCCUCAUACAGGGGGAUAACAGUUAGAAAUGACUGCUAAUACCGCAUAAGACCACAGCACCGCAUGGUGCAGGGGUAAAAACUCCGGUGGUAUGAGAUGGACCCGCGUCUGAUUAGGCAGUUGGUGGGGUAACGGCCUACCAAGCCGACGAUCAGUAGCCGACCUGAGAGGGUGACCGGCCACAUUGGGACUGAGACACGGCCCAAACUCCUACGGGAGGCAGCAGUGGGGAAUAUUGCACAAUGGGGGAAACCCUGAUGCAGCGACGCCGCGUGAGCGAUGAAGUAUUUCGGUAUGUAAAGCUCUAUCAGCAGGGAAGAAAAUGACGGUACCUGACUAAGAAGCACCGGCUAAAUACGUGCCAGCCGCCGCGGUAAUAC